GUGAAAUUCCGUCGGAAUCUGGGAGGACCAUCUCCUAAGGCUAAAUACUCUCUAGUGACCGAUAGUGAACCAGUACCGUGAGGGAAAGGUGAAAAGCACCCCGGAAGGGGAGUGAAAUAGAACCUGAAACCGUGUGCUUACAAGUAGUCAGAGCCCGUUAAUGGGUGAUGGCGUGCCUUUUGUAGAAUGAACCGGCGAGUUACGAUUUGAUGCAAGGUUAAGCAGUAAAUGUGGAGCCGUAGCGAAAGCGAGUCUGAAUAGGGCGUUUAGUAUUUGGUCGUAGACCCGAAACCAGGUGAUCUACCCUUGGUCAGGUUGAAGUUCAGGUAACACUGAAUGGAGGACCGAACCGACUUACGUUGAAAAGUGAGCGGAUGAACUGAGGGUAGCGGAGAAAUUCCAAUCGAACCUGGAGAUAGCUGGUUCUCUCCGAAAUAGCUUUAGGGCUAGCCUCAAGUGAUGAUUAUUGGAGGUAGAGCACUGUUUGGACGAGGGGCCCCUCUCGGGUUACCGAAUUCAGACAAACUCCGAAUGCCAAUUAAUUUAACUUGGGAGUCAGAACAUGGGUGAUAAGGUCCGUGUUCGAAAGGGAAACAGCCCAGACCACCAGCUAAGGUCCCAAAAUAUAUGUUAAGUGGAAAAGGAUGUGGCGUUGCCCAGACAACUAGGAUGUUGGCUUAGAAGCAGCCAUCAUUUAAAGAGUGCGUAAUAGCUCACUAGUCGAGUGACACUGCGCCGAAAAUGUACCGGGGCUAAACAUAUUACCGAAGCUGUGGAUUGUCCUUUGGACAAUGGUAGGAGAGCGUUCUAAGGGCGUUGAAGCAUGAUCGUAAGGACAUGUGGAGCGCUUAGAAGUGAGAAUGCCGGUGUGAGUAGCGAAAGACGGGUGAGAAUCCCGUCCACCGAUUGACUAAGGUUUCCAGAGGAAGGCUCGUCCGCUCUGGGUUAGUCGGGUCCUAAGCUGAGGCCGACAGGCGUAGGCGAUGGAUAACAGGUUGAUAUUCCUGUACCACCUAUAAUCGUUUUAAUCGAUGGGGGGACGCAGUAGGAUAGGCGAAGCGUGCGAUUGGAUUGCACGUCUAAGCAGUAAGGCUGAGUAUUAGGCAAAUCCGGUACUCGUUAAGGCUGAGCUGUGAUGGGGAGAAGACAUUGUGUCUUCGAGUCGUUGAUUUCACACUGCCGAGAAAAGCCUCUAGAUAGAAAAUAGGUGCCCGUACCGCAAACCGACACAGGUAGUCAAGAUGAGAAUUCUAAGGUGAGCGAGCGAACUCUCGUUAA
Molecule: ribosomal RNA, 1278 nt
Filed under: Staphylococcus aureus
Lineage: Bacteria; Bacillati; Bacillota; Bacilli; Caryophanales; Staphylococcaceae
Description: partial 23S ribosomal RNA
Rfam family: Bacterial large subunit ribosomal RNA
Source: RNAcentral